UCUCCGUUGGUGAACCAGCGGAGGGAUCGUUACCGAGUUUACAACUCCCAAACCCCAUGUGAACCUUACCAAACGUUGCUUCGGCGGGAUGCCCCGGGCGCGGGCCGCAAGGCCUCAGCCCCGGAACCAGGCGCCCGCCGGAGGCCCAAACCAAACUCUUGUUUUUGUAGAAUCUUCUGAGUGGCCUUUUAGGCAAAAAAUGAAUCAAAACUUUCAACAACGGAUCUCUUGGUUCUG
This 237-nucleotide unclassified non-coding RNA is filed under the name plant metagenome. Its description in RNAcentral is "partial contains small subunit ribosomal RNA, internal transcribed spacer 1, and 5.8S ribosomal RNA". The record is from RNAcentral.